GAAAAAGUUACAAAGGGCAUAUGGUGGAUGCCUUGGCACUAAUAGGCGAUGAAGGACGUGGCUACCUGCGAAAAGCCUCGGUAAGACGGUAACAGUCUUUGACCCGGGGAUCUCCGAAUUGGGCAACCAGGCUGAAGUAAUGUUCAGUCAUAACUUACUGAAUACAUAGGUAAGUUAAGCAAACGAAGGGAACUGAAACAUCUAAGUACCUUCUGGAAAAGAAAACAAAAGUGAUUUCCUUAGUAGCGGCGAGCGAAACGGAAAGAGCCUAAACCAAGCAAUAUGUCAAGAGUGCAAUCGUUGUAUUGCUGGUGUUGUGGGACUAUCUGGUAGAUUUGCAAUAUACCAAAGAGUAAAAAACCUUGGAAUUAGUUGAAUGGUCUGGAAAGGUCAACCAUAGACGGUGAAAGUCCGGUAAACAAAAAUUUUAAGGCUCUUGAUAGUAUCCCGAGUACCGCGGAGCACGUGGAAUUCUGCGGGAAUCUGCCAGAACCAUCUGGUAAGGCUAAAUACUUAUUAGUGACCGAUAGCGCACAAGUACCGUGAGGGAAAGGUGAAAAGUACUCCUAACAGGAGGGUGAAAUAGAACCUGAAACCAUAUGCUUACAAACGGUAGUAGUCUUUUGAGCGGCUUGCCGCUCAGUAAGAUGACUGCGUGCCUUUUGCUUAAUGAGCCAACGAGUUACUCGUAUGUUGCAGCAUAAGCUUUUAAGAAGCGAAUGCAUAGCGAAAGCAAGUCCGAAAUGGGCGAAUUAGUAACAUGCGGUAGACGCGAAACCGUGUGAUCUAUUCUUGACCAGGAUGAAAUAUCGGUAAAACGAUAUGGAGGUCCGAACCAGUGUGGGUUGAAAACCGCUUGGAUGAGUUGAGAAUAGGAGCGAAAGACCAAUCAAACUCGGAAAUAGCUCGUACUCCCCGAAAUAGCUUUAGGGCUAGCCUCGAAAUAGUAUGUUGUAGGUAGAGCACUAAUUGGGCUAGGGCCGCCACAGCGGUACCAAACCCAAAUAAACUCCGAAUGACAAUCAUAUAUUUUUCGGGAGUCAGGCAGUGAGGGAUAAGCUUCAUUGCCGAGAGGGAAAUAACCCAGACCACCAAUUAAGGUCCCCAAGUCUAUGUUAACAGACUAAGGAUGUUAAGUUGCUUAGACAACUAGGAUGUUGGCUUAGAAGCAGCCACUCAUUAAAAGAGUGCGUAAUAGCUCACUAGUCGAGUGUGGUAGGGGAGCAUUCUAUUGACGACUGCAGUGAAUGCAGAUCUUCGGAUGAAGGUGUCAGGUGACUGAUGCUGGAGUUAAUAGAAAAGAAAAUGUUGGCAUAAGUAACGAUAAUCCGGAUGAAAAAUCCGGACACCGAAAAUCCAAGGUUUCCUGAGCAAUGUUAAUCAACUCAGGGUUAGUCGGUCCCUAAGCUGAGGCCAAACGGCGUAAGUAAUGGGAAACAGGUUGAAUAUUCCUGUACCUUCGACAUUUAAACCGGAAUGACGCAAAAGUGAAAGGAGAGCCACCUGAUGGAUGGUGGUCUAAGGGCGUAGUCGCAAGAUGAAACCCGAACGGGAUGGCGCAAGCCUAUAAACUCUCCCUAAUCAUGUUGCCAAGAAAAGCUCCGGCGUAUACUAAGAAGACCGUACCGUAAACCGACACAGGUAGAUGAGGAGAGUAUCCUAAGGUGCUCGAGUGAGCCGUAGUUAAGGAACUCGGCAAAUUAACCCCGUAACUUAGGGAAAAGGGGUGCCCCGACUAUGUCGGGGUCGCAGAGAAAUGGGCCAAGCGACUGUUUAACAAAAACACAUGUCUAUGCAAAGCCUUUAAGGCGAAGUAUAUGGACUGACACCUGCCCGGUGCUGGAAGGUUAAGAGGAGAGGUUAGUCUUCGGGCGAAGCUUUGAAUCGAAGCCCCAGUAAACGGCGGCCGUAACUAUAACGGUCCUAAGGUAGCGAAAUUCCUUGUCGGGUAAGUUCCGACCUGCACGAAUGGUGUAACGAUUUGGCCACUGUCUCGACUACGGGCUCGGUGAACUUGUGGUACCGGUGAAGACGCCGGUUACCUGCAUAUGGACGAAAAGACCCCGUGCACCUUUACUGCACCUUAGCAUUGGGUUUGGAUACAACAUGUGUAGAAUAGGUGGGAGACUUUGAAGCGGUGGCGCUAGCCAUCGUGGAGUCGCAAUGUGAAAUACCACCCUUGUUUUGUUCGAAUUCUAACCUCGGCUCUUGAAUCAGGGCCAGGAACAGUGCUAGGCGGGUAGUUUGACUGGGGCGGUCGCCUCCUAAAAAGUAACGGAGGCUUUCAAAGGUACCCUCAGCAUGGUUGGUAAUCAUGCGUAGAGCGCAAAGGCAUAAGGGUGCUUAACUGUGAGACUUACAAGUCGAGCAGGUGCGAAAGCAGGACUUAGUGAUCCGACGGUAGAGUGUGGAAUUGCCGUCGCUUAAAGGAUAAAAGGUACGCCGGGGAUAACAGGCUGAUGACUUCCAAGAGUUCACAUCGACGAAGUCGUUUGGCACCUCGAUGUCGGCUCAUCACAUCCUGGGGCUGGAGAAGGUCCCAAGGGUUUGGCUGUUCGCCAAUUAAAGUGGUACGUGAGCUGGGUUCAGAACGUCGUGAGACAGUUCGGUCUCUAUCCUAUGCAGGCGCAGGAAAUUUGAGGAGGCUCGCUCUUAGUACGAGAGGACCGGAGUGAACGAACCUAUGGUGCGCCAGUUGUCAUGCCAAUGGCAUCGCUGGGUAGCUAUGUUCGGUUGAGAUAAGCGCUGAAAGCAUCUAAGCGCGAAACUCGCUUCAAGAUGAAAUUUCCCUCCGUAGCAAUACGGAAUAAGACUCCAGAAAGAUGAUCUGGUUGAUAGGCUGUAGGUAUAAGUAUAGUAAUGUAUUCAGCCGAGCAGUACUAAUAAGUCGAAUGACUUUUCCUA
RNAcentral lists this ribosomal RNA (2904 nucleotides) under Ignavibacteria bacterium. Its description in RNAcentral is "23S ribosomal RNA". It matches the Rfam family "Bacterial large subunit ribosomal RNA". Lineage: Bacteria; Pseudomonadati; Ignavibacteriota; Ignavibacteria. The record is from RNAcentral.